CCUGAGAAACCUAAAAGUUCGAAAAGAGAGAUUCAACGUCGGCAUGUACAGUAUUCACGUGAGUAGUGAUGUAUGCACAUUUUCAUGUUAUUUUAUUGCUGUGCUAUUGUCGGCGUGCACUUCUCUCUUAGUAGGACGUCCCGACCCGUUGAGUCUUAGCCUACGGCCCAAACUUUAAUAUGAUCUGUAUUAAAAACCUUUGGUAUUAAAAACCUUUGGUGUUCUCCUGGCCUAAGUGCUCGACGGGGUAUUAAGCCGCAAUUUAUUUUGCGUCCUUGCGUCCGGCCUGUCGCAAGUUUAUUGACAAACUGUAUUAGCACAGACUUAGUGCUUGCUAUAUGGGCUGUGCUCUCGGACUGGCUUAUUAUAUACCUGUCAGGGACGCUUAGGCUUUGGGUACUCUCAGGACCCGUCUUGAAACACGGACCAAGGAGUCUAACAUGUACGCGAGUCAUUGGGUAUAUAUUUUCCAAACCUAAAGGCGAAAUGAAAGUAAAGGUUGAA
This 504-nucleotide ribosomal RNA is filed under the name Disophrys sp. 1 EGC-2017. RNAcentral describes it as "eukaryotic LSU rRNA". It matches the Rfam family "Eukaryotic large subunit ribosomal RNA", at positions 386 to 736 of the family's 3401-position model. The record is from RNAcentral. Lineage: Eukaryota; Metazoa; Arthropoda; Insecta; Hymenoptera; Braconidae.